This 468-nucleotide ribosomal RNA is filed under the name uncultured bacterium. Its description in RNAcentral is "partial 16S ribosomal RNA". It matches the Rfam family "Bacterial small subunit ribosomal RNA", at positions 28 to 507 of the family's 1533-position model. The record is from RNAcentral.
GACGAACGCUGGCGGCGUGCUUAACACAUGCAAGUCGAACGGAAAGGCCCUGCUUUUGUGGGGUGCUCGAGUGGCGAACGGGUGAGUAACACGUGAGUAACCUGCCCUUGACUUUGGGAUAACUUCAGGAAACUGGGGCUAAUACCGGAUAGGAGCUCCUGCUGCAUGGUGGGGGUUGGAAAGUUUCGGCGGUUGGGGAUGGACUCGCGGCUUAUCAGCUUGUUGGUGGGGUAGUGGCUUACCAAGGUUUUGACGGGUAGCCGGCCUGAGAGGGUGACCGGCCACAUUGGGACUGAGAUACGGACCAGACUCCUACGGGAGGCAGCAGUGGGGAAUAUUGCACAAUGGGCGGAAGCCUGAUGCAGCAACGCCGCGUGCGGGAUGACGGCCUUCGGGUUGUAAACCGCUUUCGCCUGUGACGAAGCGUGAGUGACGGUAAUGGGUAAAGAAGCACCGGCUAACUACGUG